CAUGUUCUAGUCCUGCAAG
Molecule: non-coding RNA, 19 nt
Filed under: Mus musculus (house mouse)
Lineage: Eukaryota; Metazoa; Chordata; Mammalia; Rodentia; Muridae
Source: RNAcentral